AUACGUAGGGGGCGAGCGUUGUCCGGAAUGAUUGGGCGUAAAGGGCGCGUAGGCGGCCUGUUAAGUCUGGAGUGAAAGUCCUGUUUUCAAGAUGGGAAUUGCUUUGGAUACUGAUGGGCUUGAGUGCAGGAGAGGUUAUCGGAAUUCCCGGUGUAGCGGUGAAAUGCGUAGAGAUCGGGAGGAACACCAGUGGCGAAGGCGGGUAACUGGACUGCAACUGACGCUGAGGCGCGAAAGUGUGGGGAGCAAACAGGAUUAGAUACCCUGGUAGUCCACACUGUAAACGAUGAAUGCUAGGUGUAAGAGGUAUCGACCCCUUUUGUGCCGGAGUUAACACAAUAAGCAUUCCGCCUGGGGAGUACGGCCGCAAGGUUGAAACUCAAAGGAAUUGACGG
RNAcentral lists this ribosomal RNA (395 nucleotides) under uncultured bacterium. Its description in RNAcentral is "partial 16S ribosomal RNA". It matches the Rfam family "Bacterial small subunit ribosomal RNA", at positions 523 to 916 of the family's 1533-position model. The record is from RNAcentral.